CACAAACUGCUAUAUUAUCACCACGAACAGAACUGUCCGUAUUAGCUUUUAUCCAUGGGACAGGCGGCGUUUUCCACAAUAUCAUGAUCUGAUUCUGAGUUUCAAUUGGAUCAUAUACUGUAUUACCCGCCAGUAGUGGUGUACUGGUUUUAAUUAAAUUAUCACGAAAAUCAUUUUUAAAAAUACAAAUAAAAAAUGUAACACCCCAUAUAGAUUUAUCUAGAAUAUCUAUAGGAGCAAUCAUAGCCGGAUCGGGAUACACUAAAUACAUUGCAUUUCGUUCCAAUAUGCUAAUAGAAUUACAUUUAUCCAAGGAAUGUAUACCAAAUUGAGCUAACAUCUAAAUACAUAAUCUAACCGAGUCUUGUACAACAUAUAAGAAAAUCUUAACAUUAGCUCAAUAGUGUAAUCCAUAUAUCUGAAUUUCAUGCUUCAAGGCCUCGACACCUCGAUCAACCUGUGUAUCUGAAACAAAAUGUGGGGGGGUGAGACAGCCACUUCGUCUCAGUGGUUCCAUUUACCUAUAGAGUUAGUAACUAAGAGGAACAAACUAACAGUUGAUCAUUUUAUAUGUAGCAUCAUAUUCAUUCGUCAAUUACAUAGCAUAUAAAUAAGUGUAUCACACAAUAAUUAUCUGAGUUCAUUUUACAGACAACUUGAGGUGAGUAGUCUCAAGAGGUCUAGCUAGCCGGCUAAAUUCCCAUCUUUCAGGGCUAGAGCAUGAACAUACUCAUCUUAUCGUCAUGUGGAAUUCCCUUUCGAAAUUCCAACCAACCGCCAAACUGCUAUCUAAAGCAGUUUGUGUGGUGCCUGAUGAACCAUGACUUAAACAUUUUAUUCAUAUCCGUGGUCCAAAGUCCACUGAAACAUUUCAUAAUUAAAUAUGGCACAAGGCCCAUAAUCCAUUCCAUAAGAUCAACUGUCUAAGUCCUAUAAGUUUUCUAAACCUCUUGUGAAUAAUAAACCUCUUAGGUCUCUACUUUAUUGGUACUCGCUUUCUAAAUCCAUUUCUUAUAUGUUAAUCGUCGGGAGAACUAUUUAUAUUUCCCUUGUGUAACCAUAUCAAUUACACAUCAUUGUUAUAGGUUUUGCUUACUAAUUUUCAAGUCGUCUUAGCUAUUUAGCCUACCAAAUUUAGGUGCAUAUAAAAUGCUAAAAUCAUAAGUAGAAGUUGUAGGCAUUCUCCAAAACUUGUUGAUGAUCGAUUGACAUUUAAAAAUAGUGUUUUUAUAAAGUCCAAAACAAUUUCAUUCAUCCCCAAUCCAUUACAUCAUUAGGAUACAACUUCUAAAUAUAAUUUUAACAUAAUAAUGAACUUUGGGUGAAAAGCUCAUCAUACACCAAUUUCUUAUAAUGAUUCUAUCACAUGCAUAAUAAUUGGGGAAAACUAGAUUAUCAUACAUGUGUAAUAUCCUUCAAAAUGGCAUUUGAAGAACAUUAAGAGUACAAUGGGAAUCUAAUACUCCAAUUUGUCAUUGUAUCUAAACCUAUGUCCUAUAGUGAACAAUUAGUUCUAAAUUGGCCAAACUUAAAAUGGGUAGGCUAUCCUAAAGGAACCCACCUUAUUAGGAGGAUGAGCAUGCUUGCGUGAGUUCAAGAUCCUGAUGUAUUUGUACUCAUAUGCACCGAUUCGCGUAACUUGAACACGUAGAAGCCCGCUGCCAAAAUCCUGCAACUUCACAAAAUCAGACCCCAACUUCCACAAUUUAAUUGAAAUACUAGAAAUACUAAACGAUGUCCGAUUUGAGUAAACGACCACUCGUUGGAAAGCUUAGGGUGUCAAGAUUACAAAUAUAAUUUUUGUUUUGAGGGUUAACUAUCCAAUUAGUUCAGUUUGAUAAAAGAAUGGGUACUGGUACAGAAACAGAGCAGAAACUUUUCUCAAACUUGUAGGUAGAUUUUCUCAUACUAUACUUAAUGAAAUUUAACAAUUCCAGUGUCAAUCCUAUAGUAAAUUUUGUCUUCUUUACACUAGAUUAAAAAUAAUUAUCAUACGACUUAUAUUCAGAGAGCUAUGCUAAAUUUACCGUAGGUAUGUUACACGAAUUUUCACAUAAAUCUUUCUUCUUCCAUAUGAACUUGCAACCCAAUCAUAUACAAUCUACUAAUAACCAAAACAAAUCCAUUUUAACUUAUAAAACCCCUUUCUUCCAUUAAUUAGGGCCUUAGAGUUUGGCAACCAACGAAACAAAAUAGAGAUAUGGUUUGAUUCUUCUUACCUUAGAAAUGUUAGUGAACAUCCAAGAGGCUUAAGGAAUUAGCUACGAGUUCUUCCAACUUCUUCAAAUCCAUUAUGAACCUUGUCUUCCUUCUUGUUCCACCUUUUUCUUCAGUUCCUACUUCCUACAACCCAAUCAAUUGCAUCUGCCUUAGCUAAUCAUGCAUGCAAAUUCAAUUUGGUGAAAACUUAAAAAUUGGGGCUUUAGGGUUUGGAAUGUAGGGUACGGCCAGUUGGGAGGAAAGAGAAGAGAAAUUGUUCCUUACCUUGUCUAUUUGUGACUCAAAAGAUGGGAGGCUGAUUUUGCAUGUGGAGUUUUAGUACUUGAACACUAUGGAAAUGAGGAGUUUGGGUUGAAGUUUGGAGUUUGAGUGAAGGAGAGUGAGGGUGAGGCGUACAGAGAGAGAAGAAUGAGUCAACAAUGGUUGGUUGUGGUCCUUCCAAGCUUAUAUAUUGGCCAAACCCAUUUAACGUUAUGCCUUUAUUAUAUUCUAAGUAUCAUUCUAAUUAUUAUUACCUUUAAUAAUUAAAAGUGGGAUGUUACAAAAAAUCUCAUUGCAAUAAAUGACAACAAAUUACAGGUUCCCUAAAGCUUGUGCUUCUAUUACAU
This 2828-nucleotide long non-coding RNA is filed under the name Trifolium pratense (red clover). RNAcentral's name for it is "long non-coding RNA (TPRA_LNC002035)". Lineage: Eukaryota; Viridiplantae; Streptophyta; Magnoliopsida; Fabales; Fabaceae. The record is from RNAcentral.